UGGGGAAUUUUGGACAAUGGGGGCAACCCUGAUCCAGCCAUUCCGCGUGAGUGAAGAAGGCCUCGGGUUGGUUAAAGACUCUUUCGGUCAGGAACGAAACGG
RNAcentral lists this ribosomal RNA (102 nucleotides) under uncultured bacterium. Its description in RNAcentral is "partial 16S ribosomal RNA". It matches the Rfam family "Bacterial small subunit ribosomal RNA", at positions 355 to 454 of the family's 1533-position model. The record is from RNAcentral.